This 777-nucleotide ribosomal RNA is filed under the name uncultured Neocallimastigales. RNAcentral describes it as "partial large subunit ribosomal RNA". It matches the Rfam family "Eukaryotic large subunit ribosomal RNA", at positions 22 to 621 of the family's 3401-position model. The record is from RNAcentral. Lineage: Eukaryota; Fungi; Neocallimastigomycota; Neocallimastigomycetes; Neocallimastigales.
UAUCAGUCAUGCAUAGCAUAUCAAUAAGCGGAGGAAAAGAAACUAACAAGGAUUCCCUUAGUAACGGCGAGUGAAGCGGGAAGAGCUCAAAUUUGAAAUCUUCAAGGUUUUACCUUGACGAAUUGUAGUUUAAAGAAGUGUUUUCUGUUGAAGUUUUGGUAAAAGUUCUUUGGAAUAGGACAUCAUAGAGGGUGAGAAUCCCGUAUUUGACCAUUACUUUCAGCUUUGUGAUACACUUUCAAAGAGUCGGAUUGUUUGGGAAUGCAGUCCAAAAUGGGUGGUAAAUUUCAUCUAAAGCUAAAUAUUGGCGAGAGACCGAUAGCGAACAAGUACCGUGAGGGAAAGAUGAAAAGAACUUUGAAAAGAGAGUUAAACAGUACGUGAAAUUGUCAAAAGGGAAGCGUUUGACACCAGUGUUGUUUUCCUCGAAAAUCAAUUAAAAAGAGUUGGAUUUUGUGUUGUAUUGACUUUAUCAGGCCUUUCUUCACUCUUUUCCAGCUUUUUUUAAUGCACUUUUCGUUUAACAAGUCAACAUCAGUUUCUUUUGUUGUAAAAAGGUCAUUGGAAGGUGGCUUUCUCUUCGGAGAAAGUGUUUAUAGCCUUUGACUCAUGCAAUCGGAGAGGACUGAGGUCUGCAGCGUAGAUCCUUCGGGGUUAGAUACAUUUGUGCUAAGUUAUAGCUUUUCAUAGACAACUUGUUGACUAUGUUUAGUCUUGUAGCUUACUCGCUUAUGCUAUUUUACCUACGCUUAGGAUGUUGAACUCUAUCACACACAG